Mugil cephalus (flathead mullet) is the source of this 1976-nucleotide long non-coding RNA. RefSeq lists it as uncharacterized. The record is from RefSeq and is a predicted model, not a curated record. NCBI's taxonomy places the organism in Eukaryota, Metazoa, Chordata, Actinopteri, Mugiliformes, Mugilidae. The transcript has 4 exons.
GUUAAAUAAAUAAAUCCCAGUUUGCAUUAUUCACUUUAACUCUUGGGGCUUUUGAGAAUCUUCUUUUAUGUACAAAUCUGACGUUGCUUCCAAACUCUUGGCCUGUAGUGUACAUAAACAUAAGAAUAUAACUUUGUUUGAGUGCUGGUUGUAUCUCUCUGAUUAGCGUAAUGUGACAUGUGACCUCAGUAGACAUACGUGUGUGAGCAUCAUGUUACUGUUGAGGCGCUAGUUUGAACUGGGGGUUGCAGAGACAAGUCGACUUCUCUCCUGUUAGUCACUGAUCACGUGACAAUAACAACACGAAUGCCUCCUAAAAGACAGAUGAGGAGACCAGUGGGUCUUUGCAGCAAACUAUAAGUGGUUCAUAGAGCGUAAGGGUUAUACUUCACCGAGGAUGGAGCCCAUUCUACCGUGACAUGUCAUGUUAUGUGGCAUCCAAAUCGAUCCAAAUCCUCUGUACAGCAGUCAAUUAACAACUUCACUAAACACCCACUGGUAAAAGAGAAGGAGGUUAGACGUUUAGGUGGAGCUUUGAGUUGUUCCUAAAGUCUGUGUCAGGCUGCAUCCUGCUGGCUGCUGCCAUCGAGGAGUGUCAUAGCUAUGCGGUGGGUGGUGGGUGAUACAUGUCAGAGUGACAUCCACAAGAAUGAAUGGCAGGUGUAAAGAUCAUUGAAAUGUCACAAAAUGGUCACACGGUGGAUGUUAUUUAGUCACUAAUCUGUAACAAAGUAUAAAACAGUUUGUUUUAAUACCUGAACAUGGCUGUGCAAAGACAGAAUUGCAAACAAUGAAGUCCCAACGUCCUCAAACGAGUACUUGCUAAUUGGUGGAUUUGUUCAAUUUGCGCGUCAUAUCUAAGUAGAAACGUUAACAAGCAUAAAUAAAUAAGCUUUAACCUUAAACCACCUAUAGAUGACAGACUAAACCAGAUUUAAAUGAAGCGGAAUGAGUUGCGAUGAAAACUAAAACGUCCCCAUAUGAGGACGCAGGGUCUCAGGAGGUUAAUGUUAAUGUGGCUGGUCGGUGUUGUUGAGUUGAGCUGAAGGCCGCCCCCUCUGGCUUCGUGCAUCAUGGUCGAGUGUGUCUCCCAGCCAGGAGGCAGCUGAUUAAGUGCACCAGGUGGAGACAAUCUGGAAAUCAGGAUGGUUUGGAGGCACUCACUCACAGGGCACUGAGGAGCGAGGAGUGUGUGAAGGAACUGGUGCUUGGGAAAAGGAGACUGCAGGAUUAAAACUUGCAAAGAUAGAAGAAGGAGCCGGAACCCGACGAGACGUUCAUGUAUCACAGCAGCUGCAGCUGAGGAGCUACUGCAGUUCAGACUCAGCUGCUUUUCUUGUGACUCAGCAGACAAAGCUUUUCAGUCCCUUCUGCAUGGCUCAAUCAGAUAAAGGGACUGGUGUUGGGCCGCGUGCGUGCAUGGAGUUUGAUUGGCUGCAGGAGGCUGCAACGUCUCCACGCGGGAAACCUGGCUGAGGUCAGAGUUUUCCUCACUUGGAUAAAACGUGCCCGGGGUUCUUCUCUGCGAAACGCCUGGUGGGUCAUUGUCCAAGUGGACAGAUGUUGAAAAACACCGUGACAUUGGCGUGUGUGUAGUGCUGCCAGCACACACACACUUGGAGGACAGACGUGCCAAGCAGGUUGCCAGAUCCACCAACCAUCUGAGGAAUGUUUCCUCUAAUAAUGUGUAGUUUGUCUGUGCUGCAUAUCUGGGCUGAUCCCUCAAGUCAGUGUAAUAUUACAUUUUAGAAAACACACACAGCUAUGAGUCCAUCUCUGACCACUGGAGAGAGAAAGCGAGAACACUAAUAUAAAAACAGCACAACAUUAGCCCUCGGACAAUAUUGCACAUCUUUCAUGUGCAGAGGAAAUUCGUUAUCAUGAAGAAGCUGUUGAAAAAUGUAUUACUAUGCUUAACUUUAAAGCUGCUUUAAUGUAUUUUAUAGAUGUUUAUAGUAUAAUAGCUUUGGGUCAAA